RNAcentral lists this long non-coding RNA (488 nucleotides) under Dasypus novemcinctus (nine-banded armadillo). RNAcentral describes it as "lncRNA (ENSDNOG00000051407.1)". The record is from RNAcentral. Lineage: Eukaryota; Metazoa; Chordata; Mammalia; Cingulata; Dasypodidae.
AAUAGAGGCCCCAAGAGGUAAAGAAGGGAGAGAUCCUCUCUCUCUGUCCUUGUUAGACCUCUAAACAAUAAUCAUUUUGUACCUGACUCAGGAAGCUUUCCCACUCAGCACUGUGGGCCUGGGGCUGCCCCAGCCUUGACUUUGAUUCUGAAGCAGACCCACCUCUGGGUUCACCCCCAUUCCCACCCCACACUCACUCUCAGUGGAAUCAUCCACAGCCUAUAAAGAUGCUUUUUUUUUUUCUAUCAGCAGGUGAAGUCUGGAGCAGGACUCUAAGGCUUUCUGUCCUCCAUGCCGCUCGCCAGAAAAGGGGCUGUGAACUGUGCUUUGGCUCCAGCUGACAGGAAGAAUUUCUGGCCCAGCUGGAAGUGAGAACGGGGGGAGCCAGUCUCCCGAGGACCAUCCCAGAGGCCGCCGGGAUCACCAGAACAGUAAGAGAAGCUUUUCCAUCCUUUAACACGUAGUUAAGUUCCCCAGGCAGAUUAUCU